UGAAAUGAUUAUCUUUAUUUC
This is a non-coding RNA of Caenorhabditis elegans, 21 nucleotides long. The record is from Ensembl. Lineage: Eukaryota; Metazoa; Nematoda; Chromadorea; Rhabditida; Rhabditidae.